GAUGAACGCUGGCGGCGUGCUUAACACAUGCAAGUCGAACGAUGAAGCCCAGCUUGCUGGGUGUUUUAGUGGCGAACGGGUGAGUAACACGUGAGUAACCUGCCCUUAACUCUGGGAUAAGCCUGGGAAACUGGGUCUAAUACCGGAUAGGAGCGUCCACCGCAUGGUGGGUGUUGGAGAGAUUUAUCGGUUUUGGAUGGACUCGCGGCCUAUCAGCUUGUUGGUGGGGUAAUGGCUCACCAAGGCGACGACGGGUAGCCGGCCUGAGAGGGUGACCGGCGACACUGGGACUGAGACACGGACCAGACUCCUACGGGAGGCAGCAGUGGGGGAUAUUGCACAAUGGGCGCAAGCCUGAUGCAGCGGCGCCGCGUGAGGGAUGACGGCCUUCGGGUUGUAAACCUCUUUCGGUAGGGAAGAAGCGAAAGUGACGGUACCUGCAGAAGAAGCACCGGCUAACUACGUG
Molecule: ribosomal RNA, 466 nt
Filed under: uncultured bacterium
Lineage: Bacteria
Description: partial 16S ribosomal RNA
Rfam family: Bacterial small subunit ribosomal RNA
Source: RNAcentral